Molecule: non-coding RNA, 1393 nt
Organism: Cyanistes caeruleus (blue tit)
Lineage: Eukaryota; Metazoa; Chordata; Aves; Passeriformes; Paridae
Source: RefSeq, a predicted model, not a curated record
CGGAGAGAGAGAGGCCCCGGGGGGCCGGCGGAGAGCCGGAGCGGUGCCUGGAUCCAGCCCGGGCGGGCGGCGGCCGCUCACCAUGGCAGACGAUGAGAAGGCCGGCGGGAGUUCCGCGGACGGCGGCGAGAGCGCGCACUGCAACGUGCUGAGCUGGGAGCAAGUGCAGCGUCUGGACCGCAUCCUCAGCGAAACCAUCCCCAUCCACGGCCGCGGAAACUUCCCCACGCUGGCCAUGCAGCCUCGACAGAUCGUCAAGGUGGUGCGGAGCCGGCUGGAAGAGAAGGGCAUCGGCCUGCGGGACGUGCGGCUGAACGGCUCGGCCGCCAGCCACGUCCUCCACCAGGACAGCGGCCUGGGCUACAAGGACUUGGACCUCAUCUUCUGCGCCGACCUCAAAGGAGAAGCCGAGUUUCAGACUGUGAAGGACGUGGUCUUGGACUGCCUCUUGGAUUUCUUACCCGAGGGGGUGAAUAAGGAGAAGAUCACGCCUCUCACACUCAAGGUAAACCUGCCCGGACGCCCGGAGCGGGCAGGUGUGAGCGCCUGCCUGCGGGGAGCGGGCACCUUCCCCCUGGGGAUGGAGCGGUGCGCUCAGGGACGCAGCUCCCCCAACACCCCCGCCACCCACGGGAACCCCGAGCGAUUUAAAACCGAGGAGGAGUUUACAGUGAAGCUCCCUGACAGGGGCUCUUCAGGAUUAAUUAGCUUUUUCUCCCUCCCGGCCGGUUUGCUGGGAGCGUUGUUUUACCUGGGGCGUGUGCCAGAGGCUGCACAUCUCUCUCCCUGCCCGGCGGCAGCUGGGCUUGCCGGCCCCGGGUCCCGGCUGCACGGGGAGCGUAGAUGGAUUUAACAUCUGCGAGAGGGAAACCCUGUCUGCAAGGCAUGAUUCCAGGUGUGCUGAGUGCCCCGGUGCGGAGGCAUAUUCCCUCCUCUAGAAGACACUUUGCUUGAGUUGAUUAGGUUGAAUCCAAAUACUUUCAGAUUUUCAGAGGGAUAUUAUUUAUUUAUUUAUUUAUUUAAUACGGGACUGAUUUAUGGAACGUGCACUCGUAGGAUUGAGGGGAAUGAACAUUUGCUAACUUGUUUUUUGGGAAGCAGAGAAGGAACUGAAAACCAGUAAAUAGGAUUUCUUAUCAGAUUGUAGUAGUGACCUUCUGCGUAUGGGUGCAGGCAUAUUUGGCAGGUGUGUCAUGAACUUAGUCUGUAGAUGUAUUUAGAAGUGACUGAACAAAGUAAUGUUGCUGUAUGCUUCCCUUGCAUGACACAGUCCCAGCAGAUCACCCUUCCCUGUCAUACCCUUGCAGUGACAGCAUUUUGAGCUCUCACGUUAAGCUCUCAUUCUCUGGUUUGUAUCUGCAGGCUCCAUGAAAUCUUUUAUGAAAUGCAGGUA